Terrisporobacter sp. is the source of this 95-nucleotide regulatory RNA element. It matches the Rfam family "TPP riboswitch aptamer (THI element)". From Rfam's summary of the family: Vitamin B(1) in its active form thiamin pyrophosphate (TPP) is an essential coenzyme that is synthesised by coupling of pyrimidine and thiazole moieties in bacteria. The previously detected thiamin-regulatory element, thi box was extended, resulting in a new, highly conserved RNA secondary structure, the THI element, which is widely distributed in eubacteria and also occurs in some archaea. Analysis of operon structures identified a large number of new candidate thiamin-regulated genes, mostly transporters, in various prokaryotic organisms. The record is from Rfam. Lineage: Bacteria; Bacillati; Bacillota; Clostridia; Peptostreptococcales; Peptostreptococcaceae.
AUAAAUUGCUAGGGGCGCCAUUGGCUGAGAGGUUUAUACCGACCCUUGUACCUGAUCUGGAUAAUACCAGCGUAGGAAAGCACUAUGAAUUUUAU